GACGAAGGUGGCAAGCGUUGUUCGGAAUCACUGGGCUUAAAGCGCACGUAGGCGGCCCGUCAAGUGUCUUGUGAAAUCCCUCGGCUCAACCGAGGAAUGGCUUGGCAAACUGACGGACUUGAGGCAGGUAGGGGCGCGUGGAACUCUUGGUGGAGCGGUGGAAUGCGUAGAUAUCAAGAGGAACGCCGGAGGCGAAAGCGGCGCGCUGGGCCUGUCCUGACGCUGAGGUGCGAAAGCCAGGGGAGCAAACGGGAUUAGAUACCCCCGUA
Molecule: ribosomal RNA, 269 nt
Filed under: uncultured prokaryote
Description: partial 16S ribosomal RNA
Rfam family: Bacterial small subunit ribosomal RNA
Source: RNAcentral